UACAGAGGUGGCAAGCGUUGUUCGGAAUUACUGGGCGUAAAGGGCGCGUAGGCGGAAUGAUAAGUCAGUGGUGAAAUCCUGCAGCUUAACUGCAGAACUGCCAUUGAUACUGUCAAUCUUGAGUAUAUUUGAUGUGGGCGGAAUGUGUCAUGUAGCGGUGAAAUGCUUAGAUAUGACACAGAACACCGAUUGCGAAGGCAGCUCACAAAACUAUAACUGACGCUGAGGCACGAAAGCGUGGGUAUCAAACAGG
Molecule: ribosomal RNA, 253 nt
Filed under: uncultured bacterium
Lineage: Bacteria
Description: partial 16S ribosomal RNA
Rfam family: Bacterial small subunit ribosomal RNA
Source: RNAcentral